RNAcentral lists this ribosomal RNA (1201 nucleotides) under Chryseobacterium sp. RNAcentral describes it as "bacterial SSU rRNA". It matches the Rfam family "Bacterial small subunit ribosomal RNA", at positions 113 to 1322 of the family's 1533-position model. Lineage: Bacteria; Pseudomonadati; Bacteroidota; Flavobacteriia; Flavobacteriales; Weeksellaceae. The record is from RNAcentral.
ACACGUGUGCAACCUGCCUUUAUCUGGGGGAUAGCCUUUCGAAAGGAAGAUUAAUACCCCAUAAUAUACUGGAUGGCAUCAUUCGGUAUUGAAAACUCCGGUGGAUAGAGAUGGGCACGCGCAAGAUUAGAUAGUUGGUGAGGUAACGGCUCACCAAGUCUACGAUCUUUAGGGGGCCUGAGAGGGUGAUCCCCCACACUGGUACUGAGACACGGACCAGACUCCUACGGGAGGCAGCAGUGAGGAAUAUUGGACAAUGGGUGAGAGCCUGAUCCAGCCAUCCCGCGUGAAGGACGACGGCCCUAUGGGUUGUAAACUUCUUUUGUAUAGGGAUAAACCUAGAUACGUGUAUCUAGCUGAAGGUACUAUACGAAUAAGCACCGGCUAACUCCGUGCCAGCAGCCGCGGUAAUACGGAGGGUGCAAGCGUUAUCCGGAUUUAUUGGGUUUAAAGGGUCCGUAGGCGGAUCUGUAAGUCAGUGGUGAAAUCUCACAGCUUAACUGUGAAACUGCCAUUGAUACUGCAGGUCUUGAGUGUUAUUGAAGUAGCUGGAAUAAGUAGUGUAGCGGUGAAAUGCAUAGAUAUUACUUAGAACACCAAUUGCGAAGGCAGGUUACUAAGCAACAACUGACGCUGAUGGACGAAAGCGUGGGGAGCGAACAGGAUUAGAUACCCUGGUAGUCCACGCCGUAAACGAUGCUAACUCGUUUUUGGGGCGUAAGUUUCAGAGACUAAGCGAAAGUGAUAAGUUAGCCACCUGGGGAGUACGAACGCAAGUUUGAAACUCAAAGGAAUUGACGGGGGCCCGCACAAGCGGUGGAUUAUGUGGUUUAAUUCGAUGAUACGCGAGGAACCUUACCAAGGCUUAAAUGGGAAAUGACAGGUUUAGAAAUAGACUUUUCUUCGGACAUUUUUCAAGGUGCUGCAUGGUUGUCGUCAGCUCGUGCCGUGAGGUGUUAGGUUAAGUCCUGCAACGAGCGCAACCCCUGUCACUAGUUGCCAUCAUUAAGUUGGGGACUCUAGUGAGACUGCCUACGCAAGUAGAGAGGAAGGUGGGGAUGACGUCAAAUCAUCACGGCCCUUACGCCUUGGGCCACACACGUAAUACAAUGGCCGGUACAGAGGGCAGCUACACUGCGAAGUGAUGCAAAUCUCGAAAGCCGGUCUCAGUUCGGAUUGGAGUCUGCAACUCGACUCUAUG